UACGGAAGGCAGCAGUGGGGAAUAUUGCACAAUGGGCGCAAGCCUGAUGCAGCCAUGCCGCGUGUAUGAAGAAGGCCUUCGGGUUGUAAAGUACUUUCAGUCGUGAGGAAGGUGUUAAGGUUAAUAACCUUAGCAAUUGACGUUAGCGACAGAAGAAGCACCGGCUAACUCCGUGCCAGCAGCCGCGGUAAUACGGAGGGUGCGAGCGUUAAUCGGAAUUACUGGGCGUAAAGGGCACGCAGGCGGUUAAUUAAGUUGGAUGUGAAAUCCCCGGGCUUAACCUGGGAAUGGCAUUCAAGACUGGUUAGCUAGAGUCUUGUAGAGGGGGUAGAAUUCCAUGUGUAGCGGUGAAAUGCGUAGAGAUGUGGGGGAAUACCGGUGGCGAAGGCGGCCCCUGGGACAAAGACUGACGCUCAUGUGCGAAAGCGUGGGGAGCAAACAGGGAUUAGAUACC
This 454-nucleotide ribosomal RNA is filed under the name uncultured bacterium. RNAcentral describes it as "bacterial SSU rRNA". It matches the Rfam family "Bacterial small subunit ribosomal RNA", at positions 340 to 786 of the family's 1533-position model. The record is from RNAcentral.